AGCGAACGUUUGCGGCGGGCUUAACACAUGCAAGUCGAACGGGUUGUUCCUUCGGGGGCAGUCAGUGGCGCACGGGUGCAUAACACGUAGGUAAUCAACCCUCUGGUUGGGGAUAACACUUCGAAAGGAGUGCUAAUACCCGGUAUGGCGCAGCGGUCUUCGGAUCGCGGCGAGAAAGACCCGCAAGGGUUGCCAGAGGACGAGCCUGCGGCCCAUCAGCUAGUUGGCGAGGUAACGGCUCACCAAGGCGAAGACGGGUAGCUGGUCUGAGAGGAUGAUCAGCCACACUGGAACUGAGACACGGUCCAGACUCCUACGGGAGGCAGCAGUGGGGAAUAUUGCGCAAUGGGCGAAAGCCUGACGCAGCCACGCCGCGUGAGCGAUGAAGGCCUUCGGGUCGUAAAGCUCUGUGGGGAGAGAAGAAUAAAGCCUGUGAAGAGCAGGCCUUGACGGUAUCUCCUUAGCAAGCACCGGCUAACUCCGUG
This 485-nucleotide ribosomal RNA is filed under the name uncultured bacterium. RNAcentral describes it as "bacterial SSU rRNA". It matches the Rfam family "Bacterial small subunit ribosomal RNA", at positions 29 to 507 of the family's 1533-position model. The record is from RNAcentral.